RNAcentral lists this ribosomal RNA (400 nucleotides) under uncultured Bacteroidales bacterium. Its description in RNAcentral is "bacterial SSU rRNA". It matches the Rfam family "Bacterial small subunit ribosomal RNA", at positions 94 to 491 of the family's 1533-position model. The record is from RNAcentral. Lineage: Bacteria; Pseudomonadati; Bacteroidota; Bacteroidia; Bacteroidales.
ACCGGCGCACGGGUGAGUAACGCGUAUCCAACCUCCCGCAUACUCGGGGAUAGCCUUCUGAAAGGAAGAUUAAUACCCGAUGGUAUCUCAAGAGCACGGUGCGAUUAAGAUUAAAGAAUUUCGGUAUGCGAUGGGGAUGCGUUCCAUUAGGUAGUAGGCGGGGUAACGGCCCACCUAGCCCUCGAUGGAUAGGGGUUCUGAGAGGAAGGUCCCCCACAUUGGAACUGAGACACGGUCCAAACUCCUACGGGAGGCAGCAGUGAGGAGUAUUGGUCAAUGGGCGCGAGCCUGAACCAGCCAAGUAGCGUGAAGGAUGACUGCCCCAUGGGUUGUAAACUUCUUUUGCCCGGGAAUAAAACCGCCUACGUGUAGGCGCUUGUAUGUACCGGUACGAAUAAGC